AUGGCGGCCGCGACGGCGAACGUGGCAGUGCUGCUCCUGUUGGUCAUCCAUGUCCUCGGCGUCGUCGUCGGCGCAGCGAGGCCAUUGGAGAGAGAUCACGGGUGGACCGGGAACGGGAUCGAAAUGGUGGAUCACAGGUCAAAAGAAAAGGAUGGAUCAAACCUUGAAAAUGGAAACAUGAUCGAGCUUCUGCUCUUCUUGUAUUUCUAUCGUGAUUUGUGGAAUGUAUAG
Molecule: ribosomal RNA, 231 nt
Filed under: Triticum aestivum (bread wheat)
Lineage: Eukaryota; Viridiplantae; Streptophyta; Magnoliopsida; Poales; Poaceae
Description: partial small subunit ribosomal RNA
Source: RNAcentral